AGCACCACAGAGCCCCCGGGGCUGCUCCCGCUCCUCUCGCCUCCUUCCACAGCACAGCUGGGCGGGGAGAAGGCAAGGGGAAGAACGGGCUCGGAAAAUGACCAUCGGGUAGCCUGGUACAGUCUGAGCUCCUGGAUAGAAGCACUGCUAUCAGUUUCCAUCCUCCUUGUUUGGAGUGGAAAGAAAACCAGAAGGGUCCGAAAUAUUUUCCUCCAGGAGUGAAUGAACACAGUGGUCCACAUGAACUGGAAAACAAAAUCGUCCAGACGCUUAUAAUCUUAUUUACCAUCAAAGACUGGAGGAGCAGCACGAAAGGGAUUACUUGCCUGAUCAAACCUAAAUCGUUUCUUCCAUGAAGAAAUUCCUGCUGAUGUCCCAUCUGAACCUCCCCUGGCACAGCUUGAGGCCRUUUCAUCUUGUCCUGUCGCUGGAAAACCUUGGCGCAAGAGCAGAAGGGCUGAACUGAAAUUGCCAAAAUUUUGAGUUAAUUACAGCUAUUACAGAGAUCCUGUCAUUUUAACCUUUUUYCUGGACAUUCUUCUUUUACUACGUGUAUGUGUUAGACAGGUUUUAUAUAGGUUAUACAUAUCUAUGUAUAUAUAAAUUAUAUAUACAUCUGUGCAAAAUACGUGUGUAUAUAUGCUUGUCUUAUAUGUUACAUGUACUAUUUUCUAUUUCUGUUAACACGUUGUGUAAGUUUAUAU
Malurus melanocephalus (red-backed fairy wren) is the source of this 704-nucleotide long non-coding RNA. RefSeq lists it as uncharacterized. NCBI's taxonomy places the organism in Eukaryota, Metazoa, Chordata, Aves, Passeriformes, Maluridae. The record is from RefSeq and is a predicted model, not a curated record. The transcript is spliced from 3 exons.